UACAGAGGGUGCGAGCGUUAAUCGGAAUUACUGGGCGUAAAGCGUGCGCAGGCGGCUUUGCAAGACAGAUGUGAAAUCCCCGGGCUCAACCUGGGAACUGCAUUUGUGACUGCAAGGCUAGAGUACGGCAGAGGGGGAUGGAAUUCCGCGUGUAGCAGUGAAAUGCGUAGAUAUAGGAAGGAACACCAAUGGCGAAGGCAAUCCCCUGGGCCUGUACUGACGCUCAUGCACGAAAGCGUGGGGAGCAAACAGG
RNAcentral lists this ribosomal RNA (253 nucleotides) under uncultured bacterium. Its description in RNAcentral is "partial 16S ribosomal RNA". It matches the Rfam family "Bacterial small subunit ribosomal RNA", at positions 524 to 776 of the family's 1533-position model. The record is from RNAcentral.